Homo sapiens (human) is the source of this 3388-nucleotide long non-coding RNA. The record is from Ensembl. NCBI's taxonomy places the organism in Eukaryota, Metazoa, Chordata, Mammalia, Primates, Hominidae.
AGGGAGAAGGGGAAAGGCAAAGGGAUGUCACCUGCUUCUCUCCCUUUGAGAAAGCUUUCCCAAAAGUCCCACCUGCAACUUCUGCUUAUAUGAUACACCAAGAAGGUGGCCAUCUACCAGCCAGGAAGAGAUCCCUCACCAGAGUCCUGCCAUGCUGGGGCACCCUGACCUUAGGCUUCCAGCCUCCAUAAUGACUUACCAGAGACUGGGCAAUUCACAAAAGAAAGAGGUUUCAUUAGAAUUACAGUUUCAUGUGGCUGGGGAUGCCUCACAAUCAUGGCAGAAAGCAAGGAGGAGCAAGUCACAUCUUACGUGGAUGGCGGCAAGCAAAGAAAGGAGCGCUUGUGCAGGGGUCCUCUACUGUAACACAGAUCUCCUGGAUGUGCAAGUGACAUUCUCCAUCUUCUUUUCACCUGGUGUGUGAAUAAUGGGGUGUGAAGAAAGAAAGCAAAAUAUUCUCCUGGUAAGAAAAAUCCACAUCGUGACACGGAAGAGAUGGAGGAAGAAGAGAAAACAAAAGGUCAGAGAUGUAGCCCUACAUAGCUGAUUUUAAAAGGAACUUAAAAUUUUACUUUGGCUAAAAUUGACCUCUCCUGUAAUUUAAUCCAAACCUCUAUUGCUUGUGUGUGGCCAAGUUCAGUAGUCUUUGGAGUCUCACUUCUCUAAUUAUCCAAAUGCAUUUGUUGAAGCCCCAUCCCCUGCCUCCUCCAAAUCCCUUAAUAGGUUUGAUUCUGCUCACUGCUCAUUGCUAUUUUCAUGGUGCCGCUGAAUUCCGCUCUCCUUCUCUGUUUCUAGCCUUUUCAACAUUGCUUUCUCCUCUCAUCCCUGGCAUGAAACACAGAUGCUGGUUAUUCAAUCUCUAAAGCACUGUUCUUUUAAGAAUAAACUUUUACUGAAGAAUGGGGGAUAAAAGAUGGAGCGUAAGCUCAGAACAGCACAGGGAGAAAAUGUACAAGUAAAACUAAGUUAUUUAGUUUAGAGCUUCUUGGUCAGACCCUCCUUAGUCCUGCUUGCCAAUUUGUGCUAGAUUAUUUUUUUCCUGGUGACUGUUUCCCGCACCUCUCCUCCCCAUUCAGGGACCCCAAAGCAUGUUCUUCAGUGACCAGGAAAAUAUUUUAUAUUCUUAAUACUUCAUUAUGGAGAAAAAUUUAUUUCAUUUUGUAUAACCACUGUGUGUUAGUUUCCCAUGGCUUCCUUAACAACUUACUACAAACUGGGUGGCUUAAAGCAACAGAAAUUUAUUUUUCUCAGUUUUGGAGGCCAGAAAUCUGAAAUCAAGGUGUCAGGAAGACCAUGCUCUUUUCAGAGGCUCUAGAGAAGAUUCAUUUUUCUGCCUCCCUCCAGCUUCUUGUGGCUCCAGGCGUUCUUUGAUUCUCCUUGGCUUGUGGCUGCAUCACUGAUUUCCGCUUCCGUGUUCAUGUGGCUCUUCUUCCGCGUGUCUUCUCCUUUCUCUUACAAGGACACUUCGUUGCAUUCAGGGCCCACUCAGGUAAUUCAGGAUGAUCUCAUGCCAAGACCCCUAAUCUAAUUACAUCUACAAAGAUCCCUUAUCCAAGUAAGGUCACCUUCACGGGUUCUGGGAAUUAGGAUUUAGGCAUAUCUUUUGGGGAGCCAUCAUUCAAUGCACGACAUAAUCUAAACAGACUCCAGUUUUCUCAGCUUUAACAGAGACAAUCAAUCAAAUAAGUUUUUGAUUUAAUUUAAAAAUAAAAACAGUAUUUCUGUCUCUCAGAAUAAUUCUGCAGCCCAGUUCUUAGAGCAAAUUACAGUUAGAUUUAAAAGAAUGCUUUUCUUCUCAUUUUAAAGAUUUCUCUUUAAAAAUUGUUAAAAUGACCUAACAUUUUAAAAGACGGAAAAGUAAUUGUAAUAUCAAAAACUUAACACAACUACAUAUUUAUACAAAUGCCUUUAUAAUCUUUGUGUAUAUGUGUGUAUAUAUACAUGUGAAUGUAUAAAUACAUACUUGUAAUCAUGAUGUACUUAACAACUGCAGAUUGUGUUUAAUCUUAGCAUAUUAAAUAAGUUUUUUCAAUGUUUUAACGUAUGUUUUAAUUUACCACUUUUUAAUUUUUUAAUCUUAAUGAUUUAAGAAAGUAUUAGUCAUUGUAGAAAAUACAAAUAAACUAAAAGAAAAAUGAAUCACCUGAAAUUCUUUUAAAAAAGAAAGCCAAUCUGGAGACACAUACAUCUGUUUUGUUUUGUUUUGUUUUGUUUUUUGAGACGGAGUCUCGCUCUGUGGCCAGCCGGGAGUGCAGUGGAGCGAUCUCAGCUAACUGCAGGCUCCCUCUCCUGGGUUCAAGUGAUUCUCUUGCUUCAGCCUCUUGAGUAGCUGGUAUUACAGGCAUGCGGCCCCACACCCAGAUAAUUUUUGUAUUUUUAGUAGAGACGGGGUUUCACCAUGUUGGCCAGGAUGGUCUCAAUCUCCUGACCUUGUGAUCCACCUGCCUCGGCCUCCCAAAGUACUGGGAUUACAGGCGUGAGCCACUGCACCCAGCCUCUGUAUUUUUUAAUUUAAUUAUAUCUUCAUGUUUGUAUGAAUCUAUAUCUGUAGCUGUAUCUACAUUUAUUUAGUUUUGGCUAUAACCCCAUUUCAGGAACUAGUUGACUAAAAAAUAAACUUCUAUUGUUUUUGAAUUAUUACAUAUUUUGUGGUCUUUUAAAAAGUACUGCAACCUCCUCUAUGAAUGAAUACACUUGUUUUUAUAAGUUUUGAAACAUAUUGUUGAAUGACAUUUCUCAAAGCCUAAGCACAGAUGAUAAUCCCUACUGCUUCUUAACCAAGAUUAUAAUGACAAUCUUAGAAUCAAAUGUUAUCAAUUUUAAUAUUUAUUAGAGAAUGUCUGACAACACUUUCUAGAGAUUCUCUUAUUUUAUCAUGUUGCCAAUUUUCCUAAAAAGUGUUAAGUGAGAUUGUUAAGGCUACAAUGGAUGCAAAUAAUGUUAAUACUAUAAUGAAUGCAAAAUUAUUAAUUUAACCAUUCUUCCAUCAUUAAACCUUGUAUAUAUUUCUAAUUUUUUAUUGUUAUGUUUAUACAUAUUGAUUUCUCUGCAGCUAAAUUAUUCAGUUACAUAAAUUUCCCAGAAAUGUGGGUAUUCAGGGAAAUUGUGGAAAUAAAUCUAGUCUUCAUACAGAUUGCAGUUUGCCUUUUAUAAGGGUUAUAUGAAGACAGUUUCAUCAGAGUAUAAGAGUAAACCGGUUUUACCUCAAGUUCAUUAUCAUUGUUGUAUUUUGAUAUUAACAUCAGUAUUUUUAAUAUAAAAGUAAUAGAAUUCCACCAUAAGAUUAGUUUAAUUGCAUUGCUUCUGUCUCAGAAUUGAAGUUUAUAUAAGUUCCUAAAUAGCUUUAAACUCAUUUAAUGUAAUUUAUUUUUGUCUACUUAUUUUUGGG